Molecule: non-coding RNA, 113 nt
Organism: Acanthosepion pharaonis
Lineage: Eukaryota; Metazoa; Mollusca; Cephalopoda; Sepiida; Sepiidae
Source: the annotation of a GenBank genome assembly
UUACGGCUAUAUCACUUUGAAACACCGAUUCCCGUAUGAUCACAGAAGUUAAGCAACGUGGAACUGCGUUAGUACCAAGAUGGGUGACCGAUUGGGAUUACUUGAUGCUGUAA